This 348-nucleotide long non-coding RNA is filed under the name Musa acuminata (dwarf banana). RNAcentral describes it as "long non-coding RNA (MACU_LNC010450)". The record is from RNAcentral. Lineage: Eukaryota; Viridiplantae; Streptophyta; Magnoliopsida; Zingiberales; Musaceae.
CCACAGCUCCUCGCUGCAGCCCUUGCCACAGCCACCUCCUCUUUUUUUCUUCUUCUUCUUCUUCUUCUUCUUCUUCUUCUACUUCUUCUUCUUCUUCUGCUUCUCUUCUUCUCCUCCCCGAUGCCCCACACAUGAACUCCUCUGUUUCCUCCUACACGAAACAGAGGUUCUGUAGCCCUAGCUGCUGCAGCUAUCUCUCUUUCCUCUCCCUCUUCCCUCUCUUCUUCUUCUUCUUUUCUUCUCUUCUCCCUCUUCUUCCUCUCUUCUUUUCCCUCUUCUUCUUCUUUUCUUCUCUUCUCCCUCUACUUCUCUUCUUCUUCUCCCCAUGCCCCACCGCUCCUCUCUCUU